This is a small nuclear RNA of Colobus angolensis palliatus, 107 nucleotides long. Lineage: Eukaryota; Metazoa; Chordata; Mammalia; Primates; Cercopithecidae. The record is from Ensembl.
GUGCUCAUUUUGGCAGCACAUAUACUAAAGUUGCAAUGAUACAGAGAAGAUUGGCAUGGCAUCUAGGCAAGGAUGACAUGCAAAGUGGUGAAGUGUUCCUUUAUUUG